GUGUAACCUGUGGAUAUAAACGAGAAUAAUGUAGAUUUAUUCAGUAUGACAAUUGAGUUUAACUGGAAUUAAGCGUUUAAGGCAUACGGUGUACAGCUUACAUUUGUGGCUCCAGUCAUCCUCGGUGCUGUGAGCUGAAGAAUCUGUUUGGACGGCCAAUGAAGGAUAAUGGCAUGAACCGUAUUGUUUUUGGCCGUGUACCUAUAAUAGGACCAAGAAGUCUUAUGUUACAUCAAAGAUUAUAUCACAUUUACUUUUUUGUCCAGACCAAGUGGAAAUGUGUCUUUGGCUUCUACAACACAGUUUGAAAACAUAGCAAUAUACAUAAUACAAAAGUGCAAAUGGUCAUGUAGCAGUGGAAAUAAUAAAGAGAGAACAUUUUAUAGAUGCCUAUAUUUCAAGUGACAAUGGCCUCACAUAGAGACAGAAGAUGGAGUGAAAAAACACAAAGUCACAAUCUCACCACACAGUGCUGUUUUCCAUCUGGACCCUCCAUGGUUUGGUAGCAUAGAUGGCCUCUCCAUUUAUCCCCAACCAGGCACCAAGAUCCCUCAGCCUCUCCUCAAACACCGGGGCAAUCAUGCCAUCUGCCAUUGGCCCGAUAUUCAGCAGGUGAUGUCCUACUAUGAACUCUCACCUUUACGAUUGACGGCAGGUUCAUGACUUCGCUCAGCUUCAUGUCUCUUCUGUAGCCCCAGGAUCGGGUGUCGAGGGACUGGCAUUUCUCCCAUUUGUGGUCUGGAAGUUUACCAGAUGCAGCAUCCUGCUCCUUAUCUUCUCACCUUUUCCUGACAGCCGCAGCCAGGUCUCCCACCAGGUCCCGGUGAGGACCCACAUCCAUUGAGUUCCAGUUCCAGGAGACUGCUGAGGGCCAGUUUGUGAAUCCUUCAUGGUGUUUGGAUGUGAACACAACAUACCUGUAGAGACACACACUUAAAUUCCCUUACAAAUAUCAGGAACAAGGAAAUGAGAAGUUAUAAUAACAGAACAUAAGACCCCAAAAAGUGAAUCAGAUUACUCUAAAGCAUUUUGUUAAAAUAAAGUAAACUGGACAUUGACACACUUUGGAAAAAAUUGGUUUAAAUUACAACAACAAAUCUAGUUAAUGAGUUUCACAAUAUUAAAAAAGGACCAAUUCAACCCGUGUGCAAUGAAAUGGAUCAGGGACCUAUACUUGUCUUUUUAUAUGACAUAGUGCCACUAACUGCAGGCAAGCCUAUACAUGACACCUGCAGGUGUAGCUGUAUAAACAGAGACUUUGCUUUAGUCCUUAUCCAAAUCACAUUUGUAUGGCACAACGAAUAGAUCUCAUGACUGUACCUGGCUCCAGAGGCUUUGAAUAUGUCUGCCCAGAUUUCCGGAUCAAAGAAUUCUGCACGAAACUCAGGCGCAAAGUCGGUAUAUUUAAAACCAGGCGGGUAGUUUUUCUUCAUGAACUCCACUAGUUCUGGCUGCUUUUCUGAGUGCCACCGCUGCCAGAACCACUCACUGAACUGCCCGAAGC
Molecule: long non-coding RNA, 1504 nt
Organism: Gymnodraco acuticeps
Lineage: Eukaryota; Metazoa; Chordata; Actinopteri; Perciformes; Bathydraconidae
Exons: 3
Source: RefSeq, a predicted model, not a curated record